This is a small nuclear RNA of 111 nucleotides. Its record names the gene U5. It matches the Rfam family "U5 spliceosomal RNA". From Rfam's summary of the family: U5 RNA is a component of both types of known spliceosome. The precise function of this molecule is unknown, though it is known that the 5' loop is required for splice site selection and p220 binding, and that both the 3' stem-loop and the Sm site are important for Sm protein binding and cap methylation. The record is from Ensembl.
AUCACCAGGUUUCUCUUCAGAUGCUAUAAUCUUUCUCUUUACUAAAGAUUUCCGUGGAGAGGAGCAAUAUGAGUUUCAACCAAUUUUUUGAUGUUCUGCCGUAGGUGGGCU